GACGAACGCUGGCGGCGUGCUUAACACAUGCAAGUCGAGCGGUAAGGCCCUUCGGGGUACGACGAGCGGCGAACGGGUGAGUAACACGUGGGUGACCUGCCCUCAGCUCUGGGAUAAGCCUGGGAAACGUGGGUCUAAUACUGGAUAUGACUCCACGGUGCAUGUCGUGGGGUGGAAAGCCUUGUGCGGCUGAGGAUGGGCCCGCGGCCUAUCAGCUUGUUGGUGGGGUGAGGCCUACCAAGGCGACGACGGGUAGCCGGCCUGAGAGGG
This 270-nucleotide ribosomal RNA is filed under the name uncultured bacterium. Its description in RNAcentral is "partial 16S ribosomal RNA". It matches the Rfam family "Bacterial small subunit ribosomal RNA", at positions 28 to 300 of the family's 1533-position model. The record is from RNAcentral.